AUACGGAGGAUGCAAGCGUUAUCCGGAUUUAUUGGGUUUAAAGGGUGCGUAGGCGGAUGAUUAAGCGUGAGGUGAAAUGCCACUGCUCAACAGUGGAACUGCCUCGCGAACUGGUUGUCUUGACUGCUCCUGCCGUGGGAGGAAUGUGUGGGGGAGCGGUGAACUGCAUAGAGAUCACACAGAACACCGAUUGCGAAGGCAUCUCACGAAGGGGUGAUUGACGCUGAGGCACGAAAGCGUGGGGAUCAAACAGGAUUAGAUACCCUGGUAGUCCACGCAGUAAACGAUGAUGGCUAACCGCUGGGCUUAUCAGUUCAGUGGCCAAGCGAAAGCGAUAAGCCAUCCACCUGGGGAGUACGACCGCAAGGUUGAAACUCAAAUGAAUUGACGGGG
Molecule: ribosomal RNA, 393 nt
Filed under: uncultured bacterium
Lineage: Bacteria
Description: partial 16S ribosomal RNA
Rfam family: Bacterial small subunit ribosomal RNA
Source: RNAcentral